UACGGGGGGAGCAAGCGUUGUUCGGAUUUACUGGGCGUAAAGGGCGCGUAGGCGGCGUGACAAGUCACUUGUGAAAUCUCCGGGCUUAACUCGGAACGGUCAAGUGAUACUGUCGUGCUAGAGUACAGAAGGGGCAACUGGAAUUCUCGGUGUAGCGGUGAAAUGCGUAGAUAUCAGGAGGAACACCAAUGGCGAAGGCAGCUCGCUGGAACGGUAUUGACGCUGAGACGCGAAAGCGUGGGGAGCAAACAGG
This 253-nucleotide ribosomal RNA is filed under the name uncultured bacterium. Its description in RNAcentral is "partial 16S ribosomal RNA". It matches the Rfam family "Bacterial small subunit ribosomal RNA", at positions 524 to 776 of the family's 1533-position model. The record is from RNAcentral.